AGUUGGAUCAGUUAGAAAAAAUAUAGCAACCAGAGUCAGACCAGUCUGAAGAUCUGACCCGAGAUUGCAAGCUACUACCAC
Sinocyclocheilus anshuiensis is the source of this 81-nucleotide long non-coding RNA. RefSeq lists it as uncharacterized. The transcript is spliced from 3 exons. The record is from RefSeq and is a predicted model, not a curated record. Lineage: Eukaryota; Metazoa; Chordata; Actinopteri; Cypriniformes; Cyprinidae.